RNAcentral lists this long non-coding RNA (1068 nucleotides) under Pan paniscus (pygmy chimpanzee). Its description in RNAcentral is "lncRNA (ENSPPAG00000044183.1)". The record is from RNAcentral. Lineage: Eukaryota; Metazoa; Chordata; Mammalia; Primates; Hominidae.
AUUAUAACAUAGUGUCUCUCCAAAAUAUUUUCUAAUUCUGAAAUUCUGUGAGUAUAAAUCUAAAUAGCACGAAACAAUGGAGAGGCUAUUCAAGACCAUUUAUAGUUCCUAUCACAAAAAAAGAAAGAAUGAGAAGACAGGAGAGAGCAAAGAGUAAAACAAAAACUGAAACAAAAAACAGAAACAGAAAAGAAUAAAAAAGAAAACAGAGCAUUAAAAAUGCAUUCAGAGAUUAAGAGAAGAGAGAUUUGUUCACCUUGAUUUUUGCUCAAAAAAGCAGUCACAUGCCAAUUCAUUUCUUUUUCUUUUUUUUUGUAGAGACAUAAAAGGCACACAAUGAAAUCUUAAUAAAUGUAUUGGAUGUUUCAGCAUUAACUGAUGAGCCAGACAAUUGCCCUGGUUUUACUUUGGGAGCCACUUUUCUCUUUCAGGUGCUGUCUCAGUGGAAUAGUCAACCAAUGUAUCCUACAUUUUGGACCAGCAGAAGGAAGUAAUGAGAACGGAAAACAAAUAAGAAGUGAGUUGGAGGGAGAAGGAGACUUUAGCAUCUUCCUGAAAUCAGGAAGAAAGUUUCAAGAAUAAAGUAAUCCAUAGGGUCAAAUACUGCAGUAAGUUUAAGUAGGAUGAAGACUGCAAAGAUGGUAUUAGUUUGGUACUUAGGACAUUGGUGACCUCCACAGGUGACCUUCAGGAGAAUUAUCUGGGGAACUUGUUGAUAGAAUUUGUGAAUCUCCACCUUUAGGGAUUCUGAUUUAGAAGGAGUAGGAAGAAGGCCUUAGGAUCUCCAUUUAUAACAACCACUACUGAUUAUUUUGAGGCAGGUAGCAUACAGACCACAUUUUAAAGAAACACUAGGUAAGUGUGAUUUUCAUUCAAAGGACAAAAAACAUAAAGUUACCUAAUUCAGGGACCAUUUCAAAGACCAAAUCAAAUCAGUAGCCUGGCUGAUCUGAUCGACUGUGCAGAAACUAGCCAUUACCAUGGCAAAGUGGGGAGGAACAGUCAAUAAAAAGCAAUUGAUUUAUUGUUCAUAUGUAAGAUGAAUGUAGACAUGGAUUUUGUUUCAAG